UUAUCUAAUAGACAUGAGUGGAAGUGUGAUGAGUGAAGAUAGGAUUAGUGUGCUAAGGUGGUAGGGAACCAAGCUUUAAUCAUGAAUAAUGCUUUGUCCUUAAUCAUUCUUCCAUUGCAAGACAAAGCUCAUCACUUCACUCCCUCACACUUCAACUCUCGGUCACCUCCAAAAAUCCCUCUCUUCCAAUUUUGCUCCAAAAGAUCGCCAUAGAUUAAUCACCAAAGCUUCCAAGUUCACUUCAAGAUCAAAUCCUCCACCAAAUCAACAUAAACACCUUUCAAUUCUUGAAGAUUUCAAGAGGACCGUGGGGUUUGGUUUGAAGAGUGAGAAAGGAAAACUUUGAUCUUUGUUUAAUCUUGGGGUCCGGGCGACAGGAAAUGAAGCCGAAGAAGAAGCGACUCCACGCUAGCUUAAGAACGUUUGAGGUUGAGCAGCUGAUGGAAUGGAAUGGCGUUGAGCGGGUGUUCCUUUGACAUUUCAAGAAAUGUAACCUUGAGUAUACAUCUUCAUAUGUAUAUCUCACACGUUUUCCGCUGCAAAACACUUUGAUUAAGAUAGCUCUAUGUUAUGAAGUUGUGACACGUGUUAUUGGGUAACCCACCUUAAUCAGUUCUCCUUUAUGUGUAUGUUUUAUAAGUAUCCAAAUAAUCAUAUAUGAUCAUAGCAUUUUAUUUAUGAGUGACAUUUUCAUAUACUUUAAUGUUAAGUAAUUGUCCAUUUCCA
Long non-coding RNA from Salvia miltiorrhiza (redroot sage), 726 nucleotides. RefSeq lists it as uncharacterized. The record is from RefSeq and is a predicted model, not a curated record. NCBI's taxonomy places the organism in Eukaryota, Viridiplantae, Streptophyta, Magnoliopsida, Lamiales, Lamiaceae. The transcript is spliced from 3 exons.